ACGUAGGGCGCAAGCGUUGUCCGGAUUUAUUGGGCGUAAAGAGCUCGUAGGCGGUUUGUCGCGUCUGCUGUGAAAGCCCGGGGCUUAACCCCGUGGUGUGCAGUGGGUACGGGCAGACUAGAGUGCAGUAGGGGAGACUGGAAUUCCUGGGAGUGCGGUGAAAUGCGCAGAUAUCAGGAGGAACACCCGUAGCGAAGGGAGGGCUCUGGGCUUUUACUGUCGUUUAGGACCCAAAGCAUGUCGAGCGAUAAG
This 252-nucleotide ribosomal RNA is filed under the name uncultured prokaryote. RNAcentral's name for it is "partial 16S rRNA". It matches the Rfam family "Bacterial small subunit ribosomal RNA", at positions 525 to 775 of the family's 1533-position model. The record is from RNAcentral.